GGAGUUAGCCGGUGCUUCUUCUGCGAGUAACGUCACAGAUGUAAGGUAUUAACUUACACCCUUUCCUCCUCGCUGAAAGUGCUUUACAACCCGAAGGCCUUCUUCACACACGCGGCAUGGCUGCAUCAGGGUUUCCCCCAUUGUGCAAUAUUCCCCACUGCUGCCUCCCGUAGGAGUCUGGGCCGUGUCUCAGUCCCAGUGUGGCUGAUCAUCCUCUCAGACCAGCUAGGGAUCGUCGCCUAGGUGAGCCUUUACCUCACCUACUAGCUAAUCCCACCUGGGCUUAUCCAUCAGCGCAAGGCCCGAAGGUCCCCUGCUUUCCCCCGUAGGGCGUAUGCGGUAUUAGCAGUCGUUUCCAACUGUUAUCCCCCACAAAUGGGCAAAUUCCCAGGCAUUACUCACCCGUCCGCCGCUCGUCAUCUUCAAAAGCAAGCUUUUGAAAUGUUACCGCUCGACUUGCAUGUGUAGCUCGCGCCACGCGUCAUACUGAGCAUGAUACAACUACUGA
RNAcentral lists this ribosomal RNA (508 nucleotides) under uncultured bacterium. Its description in RNAcentral is "partial 16S ribosomal RNA". The record is from RNAcentral.